This 273-nucleotide ribosomal RNA is filed under the name uncultured bacterium. Its description in RNAcentral is "partial 16S ribosomal RNA". It matches the Rfam family "Bacterial small subunit ribosomal RNA", at positions 524 to 796 of the family's 1533-position model. The record is from RNAcentral.
UACGUAGGGAGCAAGCGUUGUCCGGAAUCAUUGGGCGUAAAGAGCGUGUAGGCGGCCCGAUAAGUCCGCUGUGAAAGUCACAGGCUCAACCUGUGAAAGCCGGUGGAUACUGUCGGGCUAGAGUCCGGAAGAGGCGAGUGGAAUUCCUGGUGUAGCGGUGGAAUGCGCAGAUAUCAGGAGGAACACCUAUGGCGAAGGCAGCUCGCUGGGACGGUACUGACGCUGAGACGCGAAAGCGUGGGGAGCAAACAGGAUUAGAAACCCGCGUAGUCC